This is a long non-coding RNA of Neofelis nebulosa (Clouded leopard), 3399 nucleotides long. RefSeq lists it as uncharacterized. The transcript is spliced from 2 exons. The record is from RefSeq and is a predicted model, not a curated record. Lineage: Eukaryota; Metazoa; Chordata; Mammalia; Carnivora; Felidae.
CCAGAGCACAGCCAGGUGGGAAGAAAAUUAGUAAAUAAACUUUAAUGAGGAGUGCUAAGGUUGCAAUGCACAUGAUUGAGUUUCUGUUAUGUUUCAAAAGCUGUGUGGGAUACUCUAAAUACUUAAUGCCUCCAUUCAUUUCUGCCGUCCACCGGUAUUUCCUGAAUACCCACCACAUACCCAGCGUGGUCCCAGGCACGGGGCAUUCGGCAGUGACUGAGACGUGGCCCUGCCCUCACAGAGCUUGUGGUCUUGCAGAGGAAACAGACAUGUAUGCGGUCACAUGACGGGGUGUGCACCGGGCGCCAGAAACGGGGAGAUGGCCAUCCGCCCUCGCGGCUGCCCGGAACGGAGUCCUGUUCUCUGUUCCACUUUCCAAGUAAGGAGAUGCAGCUCAGAGGGUGACCCAGGGUGCUGAGCCAGGGGCCAGGGCUCUGCCUCCCGCUCCCCCCAGACCCUGAGCGCUCCGCUGUGUGCACACCUCACAUGUGCUCGACCCACUCGGAGGGCAGGAACCCGGCCUAUUCCGGGUCCUCCUCCGCAUCUAGCUCAGGCCUGGCCUAGAGAAGGUGCUCCGUAAAAGCACCUGAGGGAUAAGGAACGAGUCUUCCUGUGAUAGCACCCUGCCUCUGGCCCGGGGGACCGUACAACGGCCAACUGCCCAGAGCAAGUCAGCUCCUGGAUGAUGUUCAAGUUUUCAGUAGCAAAUUCCACAGAGACUGACACAGGCCACGUGAGCGCUCCUCAGUGUCGGGGCACGCUAUCUCCAAUUUCACUGACCUCACCUGGAAGAACCGGCUUCCUCUGUCUUCCCUCAUUCCCAAAGAAUUAACCGUCCUUAAACCCUGCAUUGUCCCUGAAGCAGAAGAGGACGUAUGUCGGGGUGGGGGCAGGGCACACAGCCUUUUCCUAAAACUAACCCGGGACCGAGGACCCCGGAGGAGCCCGAGCACGGACUCCCCAGAAGCAUCCGGGUUUGGGCAUUCACGAGAGCGAUGUUCGCGUGGACUUUAAGAAAAGAAACAAAAACCAGUCCCUACCAUUGCGCCCCUGUAGUAGGCCGUUGUGAUCGUCCGAAACCGUUCCUGACCAGCUGUGUCCCUAGAGGAGAAGAAGGGAGAGUGGUGACAGCAAACACCAAUCGUCAUCACCGUGGGAACAACGGGUACUCACCCGGGAUGGACGCGGGUUGUUUCUUAAUUCACUGUCCGACUGUGGGACAGCACCUUCGUCCUCUACUCUUACAGAGGAGGAAACGGUGACUCGGGUGUCAAAGACCUGCCCCAUAGGGCGUAAAGUCAUUCCCUCCAAUGACCCCUCUGCUGCACCUCUGUUUCCUGGGGAUUCUUCCCAGAGUUUCCGGCUCACAGAGGAGCCGAGAUCGGAUGUCAGCUGUGAAAAUCCAGGGCCAUGCAGGCAUGGAAGGGGCCGGUCACAUGGCUGGAGGGGUGUACCUUCAUGCUUGCUUGCCGUCUUGGCAGAAGCCAGGGAGCAAGUCUUCCCUCGUUGGUGGAGGGCGACACCUGGGUGAGACACAUCGUGCCCAGCCCAGCUCCUGGCACAGGGGGCAUUCAGUGCUCGGUGUAAAGAUGGCCUGACUGAUUGGUGGCGGGGCCAGGGCAAGCCCCAUGUCUUUUGUCUCUGGAUUCGGGGUUCCUUUCGUGACCCUGCGAGGGCUCUGCAUGGCUGGGCUGCACGGAGGCCCCUCAAUCUGGGGCUCGGCUGGCUUUCUGACACCAACGGCAGGUGACGUUAGUGGUCAGGAACAGUCAUUUCUAUCCUCUGCCAUGGCCUCAGUCUAGAGAAGCGUUAAGAGAGUCACUGACCCCAUCGAGGCUGCUGAGAGCAGAAGCAGGAAGAGAGGAGAAGAGGAAAGUGAAACUUCUGCCAGCUGCCGCCGUGUCACCUUGGACUCCGGGCACUGAGGCUGCUGGGGAGCCACGUGGUAAAGAUGGAGAUGCUUCCAGGGCUUGUAACUUAUGAGGCAGCCAGAGACCAGGGACCAGAGACCAGAGACCAGAGACGGGCAGAUUACCAGCUGACGAGGCGUCAGGCCUCAUCCGGAUUUCCACUCUGGAGUCAGACCAGAGGCGAACACCACGGGAGCCGAGGGGGCGCCCUGGGCAGGCAGAGCGAUGCUCACACUCUGAGACCCGGGGGAGGGAGACGGGCUGCGGGGAAGGUGGCUUCGUGGCCCCCCUCACGGCACUCCCUCCCACCACAGGUGCUCGCUAGGGCAGGGAGAUUUCGCCACCCUCUCACAUGUGACUUCUCUUUCAUUUCGCUCAGGGCCCAUACUUCCCCGUGGGUGAUGUGGCUGCAGGGCGGGGACUCCCCUUCCAUCUGACCAUCUGAGCUCAGCCUUCCUGGCACUUCCGAGGGGCUACAGACCCCAGGCAGCGCCAGCGACAGGGACUCACAACCUCUCCGAUUUCAUGUAUCACAAGAAGUCAGCCCCAGCGUGUCCACCAACGGAUGGGCAGAUAAACAGAACGUGGCCCAUCCGUACUACCACCCGGCCGUGAAAAGGAAUGAAGGCCUGACACACACUGCGACAACCAAAAACACCUUCCAGAAGCUUCCGCCACCCCCUCGGCCCCAGGAUGAAGUGAGAACAGUUGAGCGUGUGCGCCAAGGUCCUGCCUCGCCUGGCCACCGCGCGGCAAACAGCUCCCACGAUUGUUUCCUAAAUAUCCCGCGCACAGUCUGGACUCAGGGCUCUCGUGCUCGCUCUUCCCUCUCUUGGAACGUCGCUUCCUUCCAUGACUUCCUGGCUCCCCCGGCCCUUCACUCAGGCCUCUGUUCAAGUCACCUCCCCAGGUGAGCCUUCCUGACCAUCCUCACUCUCUCUCCCCUCGCUUCUUUUCCUUCUUCGGGUGCACACCCUUGACAGUGCAUUUGCUCCACGGAUCUUGGGGUGAAAGUUGCCCAUGGAAAACAGCCCGACCCUGCCUUUACCUCCGCGAGUUUGUUCUACAUCUUUGCCCUCGAAGCCUGGAGGCGGGAGCCUGGCUUGAGCCCUCAGAACUGAUGACGGGAUGUUAAUUCCAUCGCUGCCCACCUCAGGAGCUGUCCAGGGGACCACAGGGAAUAUCAGUCUGCAUCUGAAAUGUGCCCACGAGGACAGAAGCUCCAGGAGAGCAGGGACUCAGACGUCUUACUCAUGGCUGUGUCUCCGGUAACUCAGCAUGGCAGAGGCCAGCUAUGUAUCUGCUAGAAACUGAUCACCCAGUCCCACACACACACCUGGACUACAGGCCUUGUCACAUUGGUUUCCCUCUAAUUCAUCCCAGUCAUUUCUUCAGCCCCUGCAGCCGUGUUGGCACACAGCAGGCGUUGGGGAAAGAUGGCAGGGCGAAAGAAAUAAAAGCCACAGGGUGUCGUGUGGUUUACGAAGCA